AGGAAGCGAUUCCGGCUACGGAUGGUCAUGCGUCGCAUUAGCUAGUUGGCGGGGUAACGGCCCACCAAGGCGACGAUGCGUAGGGGUUCUGAGAGGAAGGUCCCCCACACUGGUACUGAGACACGGACCAGACUCCUACGGGAGGCAGCAGUGAGGAAUAUUGGUCAAUGGCCGCAGGGCUGAACCAGCCAAGUCGCGUGAGGGAUGACGGUCCUAUGGAUUGUAAACCUCUUUUGUCAGGGAGCAAAGGACGCCACGUGUGGCGUUUUGCGAGUACCUGAAGAAAAAGCAUCGGCUAACUCCGUGCCAGCAGCCGCGGUAAUACGGAGGAUGCGAGCGUUAUCCGGAUUUAUUGGGUUUAAAGGGUGCGCAGGCGGAAUGUCAAGUCAGCGGUAAAAUUUCGGGGCUCAACCCCGUCGUGCCGUUGAAACUGGCGUUCUUGAGUGAGCGAGAAGUAUGCGGAAUGCGUGGUGUAGCGGUGAAAUGCAUAGAUAUCACGCAGAACUCCGAUUGCGAAGGCAGCAUACCGGCGCUCAACUGACGCUCAUGCACGAAAGCGUGGGUAUCGAACAGGAUUAGAUACCCUGGUAGUCCACGCAGU
RNAcentral lists this ribosomal RNA (601 nucleotides) under uncultured bacterium. RNAcentral's name for it is "bacterial SSU rRNA". It matches the Rfam family "Bacterial small subunit ribosomal RNA", at positions 202 to 803 of the family's 1533-position model. The record is from RNAcentral.